This 1354-nucleotide long non-coding RNA is filed under the name Pogona vitticeps (central bearded dragon). Its description in RNAcentral is "lncRNA (ENSPVIG00000004758.1)". Lineage: Eukaryota; Metazoa; Chordata; Lepidosauria; Squamata; Agamidae. The record is from RNAcentral.
AUCUAUUUUGAAGUUCUUACUUCCCACUUUCAAUAUCAUCUAAGCCAUAGUUCUUGUCUCUCUUUAGUCUACCUUGCAGGAAAAGCUGCAACUACUGGAGUUCCAAGCAUUUAUGUACCUAGCAUCUAUGCACCCAGCAGCCAACUGAAAUCAGGACCCCCACCUACUAUGAUUCCCAUGGGUCCAGCACCUUCUAUGUACAAUGGCUACGGAGUGGAUUAUGACAGGGCCAGCUCAGUUGGUGGAAACAGCUCGCAGGUGCCUCUCCUGAGGGAUACAGAGAGUGCUGUAAAUGCUGGUAAGAAACACAGGGUUGGAACACAGGUGCUGAAGUGUCUGCUGGUUCUUGGUUGAAAGAUGUUUAGAAAUAAGUGGAGACUCUACAGCUAUCCUGUAGGUAGUUGCUGCAGAUUUUAUUGAUCUCACAUGGUAGAUUGAGGGGAAGCUGCUCAGACUAUUUAUUAAUCUUUGGGCUCACUUGGAAAAAAUGUAUUAUAGUAGUACCUCGGUUUAUGAAAUUAAUGUUUUCCGGGACGUUACUUAAAGCAAAAAAUUCGUAAACGAGAAUGCAGAUUGCCAUAGGAAUGGGGGAGGCACUAUAAACCUCCGGGCACAAUGCAUCCCUGCGAAAUUUUCUCUGUAAACUGAAAAAAAAACAGAAAAAAACGUAAACGGAGACAUUAUUUUCAAUGGAUUUCCGUUUGUAAACCGAGGUAUCACUGUAAUUGCUUAUGGUACUUUGGUUGAGCCAUCCAGAAACUGAAUUAGAUGUUUGGAGGGGAAAAAUUGAGAACUGAUGCUUCCCUCUACUGGGCAAGAGCAAAAUUGCUUGCAUAGUGAUGACGCUGGAAUAGGAAUCAGUCUUGCAGUGACUCAUGAGGAGUGAGUCACAUGUAUUGCUUCUGAAUUUGCAAAUGUACUUUUCUCAUCAUAAUAGGAGUGAAUGCAUCAUAUGACUCUGGAAUGUCCCCUUAUUUAGUGCCAGGAAUACAUGGAAGUUUCUGAAUCUAGAGAGUUUGAUUUUUCUGAGCUGGGUAGGACAGACACUAUAGCCAAGAAUGGUGCUGAGGGUUAGGCCAACACGUGUCUUUGCUGGAGACAAUCUAGUCCCUCAGACUGAAGAAGUUGACUGUGGCUGACACAUCUCUUUAGGUGAGCAGGUUUCUUUAGAUCUGAGCCACAGAGAAUACAAAUAAGAUCAUAUAAGCAGAUAUUUAGUUCAGUUAAUGUUAUCCCACUCUUCCAUCUUAAGAUACACAAAACAGCUAAUGAUCUGAAGCAGUUAGGCCACUGUGGUCUUCCAGAUUGAUCGGAGUUUUCUUGCCUACAACUUCCAGAACCCUGGCCAUCGUAG